Non-coding RNA from Parelaphostrongylus tenuis, 73 nucleotides. The record is from the annotation of a GenBank genome assembly. NCBI's taxonomy places the organism in Eukaryota, Metazoa, Nematoda, Chromadorea, Rhabditida, Metastrongylidae.
GUGUCGGUGGUGCAACGGUUUAGCACAUACUCCCGGAAAGCGUAAGACCUGGGUUCGAAUUCCAGAUGACGCA